AGAGUUUGAUCCUGGCUCAGAGCGAACGCUGGCGGCAGGCUUAACACAUGCGAGUCGAGCGGGCGUAGCAAUACGUCAGCGGCAGACGGGUGAGUAACGCGUGGGAACGUACCUUUUGGUUCGGAACAACACAGGGAAACUUGUGCUAAUACCGGAUAAGCCCUUACGGGGAAAGAUUUAUCGCCGAAAGAUCGGCCCGCGUCUGAUUAGCUAGUUGGUGAGGUAACGGCUCACCAAGGCGACGAUCAGUAGCUGGUCUGAGAGGAUGAUCAGCCACAUUGGGACUGAGACACGGCCCAAACUCCUACGGGAGGCAGCAGUGGGGAAUAUUGGACAAUGGGGGCAACCCUGAUCCAGCCAUGCCGCGUGAGUGAUGAAGGCCCUAGGGUUGUAAAGCUCUUUUGUGCGGGAAGAUAAUGACGGUACCGCAAGAAUAAGCCCCGGCUAACUUCGUGCCAGCAGCCGCGGUAAUACGAAGGGGGCUAGCGUUGCUCGGAAUCACUGGGCGUAAAGGGUGCGUAGGCGGGUCUUUAAGUCAGAGGUGAAAUCCUGGAGCUCAACUCCAGAACUGCCUUUGAUACUGAGGAUCUUGAGUUCGGGAGAGGUGAGUGGAACUGCGAGUGUAGAGGUGAAAUUCGUAGAUAUUCGCAAGAACACCAGUGGCGAAGGCGGCUCACUGGCCCGAUACUGACGCUGAGGCACGAAAGCGUGGGGAGCAAACAGGAUUAGAUACCCUGGUAGUCCACGCCGUAAACGAUGAAUGCCAGCCGUUGGAAAGUUUACUUUUCAGUGGCGCAGCUAACGCUUUAAGCAUUCCGCCUGGGGAGUACGGUCGCAAGAUUAAAACUCAAAGGAAUUGACGG
This 863-nucleotide ribosomal RNA is filed under the name uncultured Alphaproteobacteria bacterium. RNAcentral describes it as "bacterial SSU rRNA". It matches the Rfam family "Bacterial small subunit ribosomal RNA", at positions 8 to 916 of the family's 1533-position model. Lineage: Bacteria; Pseudomonadati; Pseudomonadota; Alphaproteobacteria. The record is from RNAcentral.